This is a long non-coding RNA of Heterocephalus glaber (naked mole-rat), 816 nucleotides long. RefSeq lists it as uncharacterized. The record is from RefSeq and is a predicted model, not a curated record. Lineage: Eukaryota; Metazoa; Chordata; Mammalia; Rodentia; Bathyergidae.
CUGAGGGGGCGCUGCUACCCGCUCAGCGGAAAGGGAGGGAGGCGGGGGGGGCUCCUGGGGUGAGGGGCAGGCUAUAGGACCAAGGACCCGAGAGAAAUUCUGCUGGCAAAAAAGAGACAGCCUGCGAAGCGGAACGGAGCUGAGGGAAGUGACUUCUCUUCCGUAGAAGUGGUACAGAAAGGAAGCAUGACUAUGAAUGCUCUUCACACGUGCUAUUGCAUUCUCUGAAGAGAAGGCUCAGCCUGCUCCGUUCCUAUUUGCUCUUCUCCCAGGGUAACAAAAUGGCUAAAUGUUCAUAGCCUAAUCCCAGGAACCUGGUAGGGCAAAAGAGACUUUGCAGAUACCAUUAAAACAAAGGCCCUUACAAAAUUGUCCUGGAUUGUCUGGGGAGCCAACCUAAUCACAUGCUUCUUUAAAGCCACAGAAGCACUUCCAACUGUGUUCAUAGGAAGAUGUGACAACAACAGAAUGGUUAGAAGAGCACAAAGUGAGAAGGACCGGCCCCACUCUUGCUUGCUGUAAGGAUGGAGGAUGGGGCCAUGUGUCAAGGGAUGUGGGUAGCCUCUGGAAGAUGGAAAAGGCAAAGUAACUGAUUUCCCUGUGAAGUUUCCAGGAAGGAAUGCAGACGUGCUGAUGCCUGGAUGUUAGCCAAGGGACACUCAUGAAAUUGCUCUCAGAACGACCCGGGAGGGAGAAAGCAGUCACAGCAACCUACCCCCACCGCCUCUGAAGUCUGAAUGGCAAAGCCCAGCUACAGAAUGACUCCGGUUGGCCUCCGGUCACAGCUGAGACUUUGGUGAUCCAGUGGUGCUGUGA